GGGACUGUGGCUCAGCGGUAGAGCGCUCGCCUAGUAUGUGUGAGGCCCUGGAUUCGAUCCUCAGCACCA
This 69-nucleotide transfer RNA is filed under the name Ictidomys tridecemlineatus (thirteen-lined ground squirrel). Its description in RNAcentral is "Spermophilus tridecemlineatus (thirteen-lined ground squirrel) tRNA". It matches the Rfam family "tRNA". From Rfam's summary of the family: Transfer RNA (tRNA) molecules are approximately 80 nucleotides in length. Their secondary structure includes four short double-helical elements and three loops (D, anti-codon, and T loops). Lineage: Eukaryota; Metazoa; Chordata; Mammalia; Rodentia; Sciuridae. The record is from Rfam by way of RNAcentral.